CUUUAGAGUUAGAGGCCGAAAGGCAAUUUGAACUAAGCCAAUAUGCAUAUAAUUAUAAUUACGUUUAAAAAUAUCAAUAUCACGCUUAUUUAAGAGUUGAAGAGUCUGUUCAUCAGCAUUUAAAGCAAGAGAUUGUUCCGUUGUCUUAAUAAUCUGUUUAUGUUUUAUUUUAUCAAAAAUUCCAUAUUCAUAAAUUGUUUUUAAUUCAACUUUAGGAAUAGUCCAUUUAUUCAGUAGAUCCAUAUCUUGAGGUAAAUCUACCUCUUCGAGUUUUGUAUUUUUUGUACUUACUUCUCCCAUAUCCAUAGUUGGAAGAGUCUUAUAUCUAUGCUAACAAGCUUC
This 342-nucleotide long non-coding RNA is filed under the name Capsicum annuum. RNAcentral's name for it is "long non-coding RNA (CANN_LNC008362)". Lineage: Eukaryota; Viridiplantae; Streptophyta; Magnoliopsida; Solanales; Solanaceae. The record is from RNAcentral.